Non-coding RNA from Lolium perenne, 1366 nucleotides. The record is from RefSeq and is a predicted model, not a curated record. Lineage: Eukaryota; Viridiplantae; Streptophyta; Magnoliopsida; Poales; Poaceae.
GACAUGUGGGGCGUGAGCUCCAAGGUAAUUUUGGGGGAAUUUAUAGUGUGUGAUCCCCGCCCAUUACUUAUUGCAGUUAUAGGCUCUCUUUCUAUGUAGGUUAUUUUUGUUCUUAAUUGUCAUGUCAGCUUGGUUCAACUGUAAUUGAUGAUCCAAGUGAACCACCCACUUCAUCUACCACAGCUUCAACAGAUAAGAGGUGAUAAGAUUGGGCGAGAUAGAAGAGAUCAUGAGAAACAUGAUGAAUAUUACUGCACCACUCUUCACCUUCAACUGCGACCUCGCUGAACUCAGGUUUAAAUGCAAAGCUUGCAGCCAAGCACAUUAUCCACAAGCUUGCAUUACCACCAUGUUCUAGAUCUCUUUUGGAGGCGACGAAGUAGUAUGCUCUUGAUGAGUUGCUUCCUGGGCAGGUUUCGUUCUGUGCUAGACUAUAUUGCCAGAAACUUCAUAUGUAAAGGAAGAAUACGAUGAGCCCAAUUCACUGCUUGAGGAAGCUCCGAGCCGUCAAGAAAGCAAGCGUGCCGGCGGCGGCUCUAGCGCUGAUGGGCGACAGUGAGCGAAGCACGUAGUGCAGCAGCCUGGACAUGAUGCGGGGGAGGUGUUCAGACCAUAGGCGUGUCUUGGGAUUGUGGCGAACGGUGCCAGUCAGCGAUGUAGCGGCGUCCACAUGCGACGACCAGGUCAGGCAUGUCAAUCCCCUCCCUUCUCCUCUCUCUCUCUCUCUCCCUCUCUCUCUCUCUCUCUCGUUGUGCACUGCCGUAGCUAAAAUGGUUCAUUUAGAGAAGGGACGGGAAGGGAAUUUGACCAAGUUUUUAUUUGCCUUAAGUUUUUACAUUCUGUGAUUCUGAAGCAAAUGUUACACAUGUUCAUGCUCUUUCAUGGCCCAUGUUGUUAAGAAACAUAUUGUAUUGUUUCCUUUUUAUGAAAGCAAUGUUGUUUUCUGACUAUGAGGUUCUCCAUGCAUAUGGAUUGAUCAUAUUUUCAGUGUUCUGAAGUUUUCAUAUGAGGGUAGGCAGGUACAGAUUAAUGUUAAGGCAUGAAAAUUAGGGAAAUGCUAAUUGGUGUAUUAGAAGUUUGCUCUUUGGAUUUCGAGCAUAUCUACAUGCUGCCAUUGAUUUUUUGUACUUGCAAUGUAUUUGGCUCAUAUAUGAUCAUAGAAUUCUUGCAAUGUACUGGCAUAUAUUAAGUUCGUGUAACUGUUAUUACAUUUUGUAUAUAAUAAUAAUAAUUAGCAAGUUACACACAUGUUUAGGGUACUAGCAUUCAGAGUCAGAGUUAAUCUUGCGCUGUCGGUAUGGGUUACAGGAGUAUUCUGUAUUAGCACAUUUGUAAAUGGGAAAAUUUGUUGCUUUAAAGCAUUUCU